Molecule: long non-coding RNA, 225 nt
Filed under: Ricinus communis (castor bean)
Lineage: Eukaryota; Viridiplantae; Streptophyta; Magnoliopsida; Malpighiales; Euphorbiaceae
Description: long non-coding RNA (RCOM_LNC000765)
Source: RNAcentral
AAAAAGAGAGGGAUUUUGAGUUUUAACAGUUGUAUAACAAAAUGGGCAAUCAAAUAUAGAGUUUCUGAUCCAAUGAUUAUUAAUAAGGAAUCUUCAAGUUGAAACUCAAAGAAGAAGACAUAACUAGAAGAAUAUGAAAUAGUUAUUGCCAUCCAACUCUUCUAAAUCCAUAAUGGGGCUAACAAGACUUCAAACAGACCCAGUUCUCUACCAAACCCAGCAAGG